AUGCUACACGCGCCGCCGCCGCUGGAGGCGGCCGGGUCGCUCGUCGCGCAUAACCGCUGCCUCCUCCGCGACCUCGGCGGCCAUGGCGCGGUGUCGGCCGACCCCUCCGCGCUCUACGACGCCGACGCGGCCACCACCCGGUUCCUCCUCGAGAGGAUUCUGCGGGAGAGCGGCACCGCGCGCCGCCUCCUGACUUGCUCCUCCUCUCCGGGGUCCUCGUCGACGGACGCAGUGGACACCGAGUCGAAGGAGCCCGAGGACCCGGCGAAUUCCGCCCCUGGCCUCCUUCCUGUCUCAGGCGCGAAGGAUCGAGCCGACCGCGCCUCCGCAGCUAGCGGUCCAGGCACUUCGCCCGCCACCGCUCUCAACCAGCCCCUCGAAUCAACGGAGCAAGUCCCCGCCAGCCGCCUGUCUGCUCUUCUAGGGCCGAAUGGUCGCGUCCUGAUCGUGGCCAAUCGGCUCCCCGUCACGGCCAAGCGCCACCCGGUUAAGAAGUGGGAAUAUCCAAGCAGCUCUGGCGGUCUCGUCAGCGCCCUGCAAGGUGUUAAAGAUGUGCAGAUGAUGUGGGUCGGCUGGCCUGGCGUCAGUGUCCCCAAUAAGACCGAUCAAAAAUUAAUCACCGAGGGACUAUUCAAGCGAAGGUGCGUGCCUGUGUUCCUGGAUGAGGAGUUGAUGGACCAGUACUACAGCGGGUAUUGCAACAAAAUUCUCUGGCCACUCUUCCAUUACUUGGGGCUCCAGCAAGAGUACAAGAUCAAUAAGGCAAAAGACAUCAAGUCACAGUAUGAAAAGUAUACUUAA
Molecule: ribosomal RNA, 801 nt
Filed under: Triticum aestivum (bread wheat)
Lineage: Eukaryota; Viridiplantae; Streptophyta; Magnoliopsida; Poales; Poaceae
Description: partial small subunit ribosomal RNA
Source: RNAcentral